Molecule: non-coding RNA, 177 nt
Filed under: Melghirimyces thermohalophilus
Lineage: Bacteria; Bacillati; Bacillota; Bacilli; Caryophanales; Thermoactinomycetaceae
Also listed under: 1 other name
Description: 6S / SsrS RNA
Rfam family: 6S / SsrS RNA
About the family: E. coli 6S RNA was the first non coding RNA to be sequenced, but its function was unknown until recently. It consists of 184 nucleotides that fold into an extended hairpin structure with a large single-stranded internal bulge.
Source: Rfam by way of RNAcentral
AGAGCCCUGUGAUGUACGUGAACCACCGAAAGUUUUGAGCCAACACCAACACAAAGGGAGCCCGGUGUCACCUGUGGGCGCGAAGGCCCCGCUAGGGACUCGUAAACUCAGGUGCAGGGCACCCACCUGCCGAGAGCAGGUUCAAAACUGAGGGAGCCACGGCAUAAUGGGGCUCUC